UUAAAGCCCUUCCUACUG
This 18-nucleotide transfer RNA is filed under the name Astatotilapia calliptera (eastern happy). RNAcentral's name for it is "partial tRNA-Thr". Lineage: Eukaryota; Metazoa; Chordata; Actinopteri; Cichliformes; Cichlidae. The record is from RNAcentral.